Molecule: non-coding RNA, 1767 nt
Organism: Paramisgurnus dabryanus
Lineage: Eukaryota; Metazoa; Chordata; Actinopteri; Cypriniformes; Cobitidae
Source: RefSeq, a predicted model, not a curated record
GGAAAAACCAGAGGGCUGAAGAAAGUCUCCUAAAUGGCCCUGGAGAUGUUCUGACUGGCUUCGGAGUGCUUUUUGGACUGUUUAAUGCCCUCUAUGUAGAGAAGACUUAAUUCUGUAUGUUCAGUCUGUAUCAUAAGUGAAUAAGUGAAUAAAAAGCUUUUGUUUUCAUGUGACUGAAGUUAAUUAUUUUGUUAACAACACCAGCAUAAAUUAUUUGAUAAAUAUUUUUAAAAUGUUAUAAAAAAAUCCCAAAUAAUAAAUAUUAAUUGAAGUAACACAUAAAACAUUGAGUGAAUACUUAAAUUUUAAUUGACAGAGUAUUUGCUGUAAGAUUCAACUGAUUAAAACAUUUUAGUUGAAUGAACUAUAAAACUAAUUGAGCCAACAUACUUUUUUAUAUUUGAGUCAAGUUUGGGCCAACUAAAAAACAUCAAUCCAGGUAACACUUUGGAGACAGAAAUUGAGUGAACGUAAAAUUUCUGUGGAACUAGUUACUAAAAAAUAAUUCAUUGAGCCAACAAUUUAUUUUUUACAGUGUAGCAUGAUAUUAGAUUUAAACACUUAAUACAUUUUUAAAUCAAUCACUUUGUCUCUGUUUACAUUAGUUAAUGCACAAUGAACAUUAUCAAAUAUUAUUAAUGUUGUAAAAUAUAUUGUUCAUUGUUAGUUCAUAUUAGCUAAGGCAUUACCAAAUGUUAAGGAAUAAACUAUUGUAGUAAAGUGUUACUAAAUUUUCUUUUACCAUUUCCUUCACAAUGUCUAUUUAUUUCUAUGGCUAACAGAUUUUGUAACAUUUGUCUUUUUUACAGUCUUACCAUUGCUUGUAAGCUGGAUUGGGUAAGAUGGAUCAUCUUUAAAGGCACCAGGCAAGUACAUGAUGUACAGUUACAAGUCAUGUAUUUUUUCGACUGCAAUAUUAAAUGCUUUCACGUCACAUGCAAAAUUACACAGGAAUGUGGCUGACUUUUUAUUUGUAGUUUACAUGAGUGUCCUUGCACUUUAUCAGGAGUUAAGGCAGAUGUGGAGGCACAACGGGUGAUACCAGACACACACCAAGCACAUUAUGUUCGGACAUUCAAUCAUGACAGGAUCCAGGUGGAUGCUGUCCAUUGAGGAAAGAGUUUGUGCAGCGGUUUCUGGAUAGAAUUAAUUCCAAAGAUGGGAAAAAGUGCACAUCCAGACAAGGAGCAAGCAAAUAGACAAGGAACUUGGUGCAGAGAAAAGCUGUGGCCAUUAACCCCCAUGUGAACAGCUUCAUGCAGUCCCUGAUUGAGUUCGAAUGGACGACUUCAAAGAAAAGGCCACUGUGGUCUGUCUGCCACAGUUUAAUGCAUUUAUUUUUAGUGUUAAAUGAAAUUCAAGUAGAAUAUUUAAAACUAUGGGCCAGUGUUCUUUUUACCACAGUGAAAUGUUACCUUUUAGUCGAUGAUGGACUUUAAACUGAAAACUUCAAACUAUGGAACAGUGUUCUAUUUGCCAGAGUUAAAUAUGUUACAGCAGGGGUCUCCAAACUUGUUUAUACUUGUUGAUUUUAUUUUAUGUUACUUGAUUAUAUGUUUAUUAUUGUUUAAAAUCUUGUUUUAAAUAUGUUUUGUUUCGAUUAAAUGUUUUUUAAAUAAAAUUUUGAUACAAACAUUGCUUGGAUUGCCUUUUAAUUCAUUAUGUCAUGUCAAGGAUAGCAUUUUUACCAUAUUAAUAACUAUAGAUUUAAACCUAAAUCUCUAGCUAUUUUAUAUAAUAUUAUUGUAUUAACUGUAAUAAGUAAUA